Molecule: transfer RNA, 76 nt
Filed under: Candidatus Onthoplasma faecigallinarum
Lineage: Bacteria; Bacillati; Bacillota; Clostridia; Christensenellales; Christensenellaceae
Description: tRNA-Thr
Rfam family: tRNA
About the family: Transfer RNA (tRNA) molecules are approximately 80 nucleotides in length.
Source: RNAcentral
GCUAAUGUAGCACAGUCGGUAGUGCACCGCCUUGGUAAGGCGGAGGUCACGGGUUCAAGUCCCGUCAUUAGCUCCA